Carassius carassius (crucian carp) is the source of this 567-nucleotide long non-coding RNA. RefSeq lists it as uncharacterized. The transcript is spliced from 2 exons. The record is from RefSeq and is a predicted model, not a curated record. Lineage: Eukaryota; Metazoa; Chordata; Actinopteri; Cypriniformes; Cyprinidae.
UAUAGUUCUCACUACAGUUAACAUCUAUGGUGUGAACGACAGAUGAAUAGUACGCGAUUGUGAUUGUACGAUUUGCAUACAUAUACUGGGGGCUUGCGAGGAGGUGCGCACAUUCGCUUUGGUCCUCUUGAGUACAUCUGGGGCACGCACUGAGCAUGUACGGAUGGAGAAGAGAAGUGGUGAUUUAUCUCUCUCCAUCAAUGUUCCAUCUGGGGCCUCUCUCAUCCCCCUGUCGCUUAGCAACCUGGACCUGACUUUCAUUUCCUUCAGAAUGUAUUUAACAGAUCAAAAACUACAGCUCAUGAAGGACGUUUUGAGGUUCUUCCUGUGUGCAUUCAUUCACUGCAGACUGCUGGUUAGUUUGAGUGUACACGACUGAAAUUGCCUCAAAAAAUGUGAUUGAAAUACAACAAGAUUCAACCUUCAAAAACCUUUGUCUCUUGUCUAACACUAAAAUUAUGUAUUUUUAUUUCCACUUUAUGCUGAAAUAAUCACUGAAUUUUUACUACAUUAUUUGUGUGGUUUGCUGAACAAAAAAUACAGUGGGAAAUAAAUCAAUUUCACAUG